This 71-nucleotide transfer RNA is filed under the name Saimiri sciureus (common squirrel monkey). RNAcentral's name for it is "tRNA-Tyr". It matches the Rfam family "tRNA". Rfam says of the family: Transfer RNA (tRNA) molecules are approximately 80 nucleotides in length. Their secondary structure includes four short double-helical elements and three loops (D, anti-codon, and T loops). Lineage: Eukaryota; Metazoa; Chordata; Mammalia; Primates; Cebidae. The record is from RNAcentral.
GGGUGGGUAAAAUGGCCGAGUAAGCAUUAGACUGUAAAUCUAAAGACAGAGGAGUGAUCCCUCUUUUUACC